Molecule: ribosomal RNA, 1343 nt
Filed under: Arthrobacter alpinus
Lineage: Bacteria; Bacillati; Actinomycetota; Actinomycetes; Micrococcales; Micrococcaceae
Description: bacterial SSU rRNA
Rfam family: Bacterial small subunit ribosomal RNA
Source: RNAcentral
CGGUGCUUGCACUGGGGAUUAGUGGCGAACGGGUGAGUAACACGUGAGUAACCUGCCCUUAACUCUGGGAUAAGCCUUGGAAACGAGGUCUAAUACUGGAUAUUGACUUUUCCUCGCAUGGGGAUUGGUUGAAAGAUUUAUUGGUUUUGGAUGGACUCGCGGCCUAUCAGCUUGUUGGUGAGGUAAUGGCUCACCAAGGCGACGACGGGUAGCCGGCCUGAGAGGGUGACCGGCCACACUGGGACUGAGACACGGCCCAGACUCCUACGGGAGGCAGCAGUGGGGAAUAUUGCACAAUGGGCGAAAGCCUGAUGCAGCGACGCCGCGUGAGGGAUGACGGCCUUCGGGUUGUAAACCUCUUUCAGUAGGGAACAAGGCCAGACGUUGUCUGGUUGAGGGUACUUGCAGAAGAAGCGCCGGCUAACUACGUGCCAGCAGCCGCGGUAAUACGUAGGGCGCAAGCGUUAUCCGGAAUUAUUGGGCGUAAAGAGCUCGUAGGCGGUUUGUCGCGUCUGCCGUGAAAGUCCGGGGCUCAACUCCGGAUCUGCGGUGGGUACGGGCAGACUAGAGUGAUGUAGGGGAGACUGGAAUUCCUGGUGUAGCGGUGAAAUGCGCAGAUAUCAGGAGGAACACCGAUGGCGAAGGCAGGUCUCUGGGCAUUAACUGACGCUGAGGAGCGAAAGCAUGGGGAGCGAACAGGAUUAGAUACCCUGGUAGUCCAUGCCGUAAACGUUGGGCACUAGGUGUGGGGGACAUUCCACGUUUUCCGCGCCGUAGCUAACGCAUUAAGUGCCCCGCCUGGGGAGUACGGCCGCAAGGCUAAAACUCAAAGGAAUUGACGGGGGCCCGCACAAGCGGCGGAGCAUGCGGAUUAAUUCGAUGCAACGCGAAGAACCUUACCAAGGCUUGACAUGAACUGGAAACGCUUGGAAACAAGUGCCCCGCUUGCGGUCGGUUUACAGGUGGUGCAUGGUUGUCGUCAGCUCGUGUCGUGAGAUGUUGGGUUUAAGUCCCGCAACGAGCGCAACCCUCGUUCUAUGUUGCCAGCACGUAAUGGUGGGGACUCAUAGGAGACUGCCGGGGUCAACUCGGAGGAAGGUGAGGACGACGUCAAAUCAUCAUGCCCCUUAUGUCUUGGGCUUCACGCAUGCUACAAUGGCCGGUACAAUGGGUUGCGAUACUGUGAGGUGGAGCUAAUCCCAAAAAGCCGGUCUCAGUUCGGAUUGGGGUCUGCAACUCGACCCCAUGAAGUCGGAGUCGCUAGUAAUCGCAGAUCAGCAACGCUGCGGUGAAUACGUUCCCGGGCCUUGUACACACCGCCCGUCAAGUCACGAAAGUUGGUA